GAGUUUGAACCUGGCUCAGGAUGAACGCUGGCGGCGUGCUUAACACAUGCAAGUCGAACGGACUCAUAUUGAAACCUAGUGAAGUAUGAGUUAGUGGCGGACGGGUGAGUAACGCGUGGGAAACCUGCCGUAUACUGGGGGAUAACACUUAGAAAUAGGUGCUAAUACCGCAUAAGCGCACAGCUUCGCAUGAAGCAGUGUGAAAAACUGAGGUGGUAUACGAUGGUUCCGCGUCUGAUUAGCUAGUUGGUGGGGUAAAAGCCUACCAAGGCAACGAUCAGUAGCCGGCCUGAGAGGGUGAACGGCCACAUUGGGACUGAGACACGGCCCAAACUCCUACGGGAGGCAGCAGUGGGGAAUAUUGCACAAUGGGGGAAACCCUGAUGCAGCGACGCCGCGUGAGUGAAGAAGUAUUUCGGUAUGUAAAGCUCUAUCAGCAGGGAAGAAAUACUGACCAUAGGGUCAGCAGACGGUACUU
RNAcentral lists this ribosomal RNA (478 nucleotides) under uncultured bacterium. RNAcentral describes it as "bacterial SSU rRNA". It matches the Rfam family "Bacterial small subunit ribosomal RNA", at positions 9 to 480 of the family's 1533-position model. The record is from RNAcentral.